UUGGGCAUGUCGUACCAUCAUCUUCUUUGCUCAGUGUGUGGGAUACGUUUUAAAUCUUUAUAAUAUUUUUAUUUAAUAUUUAAUAUAUUUUUUUUAAAUCUCAUAAAAAUAUAAUAGUUCACAUUAUUUCAAUACUAUUUAUCCACGUAUUUCAAUCUCAUUUUAUUCCCGAAGCAUCCCUUGAGAAGUAGAAAAUCUUUUAGGAGACUUGCCUGGGACUUUGGCCAUGGCUUCGGAGAAGAAUCAGAAACUGUGGUGACCAGAAAAGAAGCCGCCGCUGCCAUCUCCUACAUGGCCUCCGCAGGUGUUGUUCAUAUAAGAACUGUUGUGCGUAGAAGUUUUCAGGUGCAUACCUGACAAUAAUGCCAAGGCUGAAGUUCCCUAAUGUUCUUUCAUAUUUCUGCUGGUGGAUAUGAUUUGCUUUUCUUUAAUUAUGUUAUUCAGCCGGCAAGUGCUUCUUUUCUUAAUUUUCUCAAGUCUUCUGUCCUGCCUAAUAAUGCACCCUGUUAAGUUCUUCAGCAACAAAAGUAUUAUUGUAACAACUACCACUCAAACAACUACUGACCUGAGAGUUUAAUGUAACCAACUGGUUACCAAUGACAACAGCACUGCCAGAGUUUGUUACUA
Molecule: long non-coding RNA, 627 nt
Organism: Carya illinoinensis
Lineage: Eukaryota; Viridiplantae; Streptophyta; Magnoliopsida; Fagales; Juglandaceae
Exons: 2
Source: RefSeq, a predicted model, not a curated record